RNAcentral lists this ribosomal RNA (253 nucleotides) under uncultured bacterium. Its description in RNAcentral is "partial 16S ribosomal RNA". It matches the Rfam family "Bacterial small subunit ribosomal RNA", at positions 524 to 776 of the family's 1533-position model. The record is from RNAcentral.
UACGGGGGGGGUAAGCGUUGUUCGGAAUUACUGGGCGUAAAGGGCUCGUAGGCGGCCAACUAAGUCAUACGUGAAAUCCCUCAGCUUAACUGGGGAACUGCGUGUGAUACUGGAUGGCUUGGAUUUGGGAGAGGGAUGCGGAAUUCCAGGUGUAGCGGUGAAAUGCGCAGAUAUCAGGAGGAACACCGAUGGCGAAGGCAGGUCUCUGGGCCACUACUGACGCUGAGAAGCGAAAGCGUGGGGAGCGAACAGG